This is a regulatory RNA element of Oceanibacterium hippocampi, 54 nucleotides long. It matches the Rfam family "serC leader". From Rfam's summary of the family: This family is a putative regulatory RNA structure that is found upstream of the serC-serA operon in some alpha-proteobacteria. The final stem of the structure overlaps the ribosome binding site of the serC reading frame. The record is from Rfam. NCBI's taxonomy places the organism in Bacteria, Pseudomonadati, Pseudomonadota, Alphaproteobacteria, Sneathiellales, Sneathiellaceae.
GCGCGGGCCACACCCCCCCACCGGGGUGCUACUAGUCUGGAAGGAUUAGACUAU